This 503-nucleotide long non-coding RNA is filed under the name Anser cygnoides (Swan goose). Its description in RNAcentral is "lncRNA (ENSACDG00005001316.1)". Lineage: Eukaryota; Metazoa; Chordata; Aves; Anseriformes; Anatidae. The record is from RNAcentral.
GAAUGCAUUCUGAAACAACUCACAAUUUCAUUCUGCUUUGGAAAACUUUUGAACUCCCUCCUACAUCUCACCAAAUAUCUCAUUUGUUCUCACAGAGAUUAAAAAAAAAAAAAAAAAAAAAAAAGACAUCCUGAUUUUACAUUCUCAGGAAGAAAAGGAAGAAAAGACUUGGCUGAUUUAUGUCUAGAAUGGAACUAAAGUCAUCGCAUCUGUGACCCAGAUUUCUUCUGGGAGUCUUUCCAGGACACCUGUUUUUUCCCCUUGUCUGCACAGAGAAUCCAGGAAUUAGUUUACCAGUACUGUAUUCCUUGGUACAUAAAAGAUUGGUUCCCAGCACGGAGUCAAAGAACUGAGAGGGACAGCGUUGUAUAUAGCUGCAUUUCUUCAAAGGAUAAGAUACAAGAUAAUCUGAAACAACAUAUUCUGGUAAUGUGUCUGGAAUAUAGUACAGCUCUAAGAAUAAAUAAAUAAAUAAAUAAAUAUAUAAAAGAGAAGUAAAUACA